CUUGGUAGCUGUGUGUUUACAAGGGAGCUGUUUUUAACAACAGCAUUGUUUUUCUAAAUGCAUGCAGGUAUCGAGGAAUGUUCUUUUGUCAUGAUGUUACUAAAGUCCAUUUUACCAAAUCAAAGAUGAAAACAGACUGAAAGUACCCAGAAACCUGAUUUGCAAGAGUGAGACCAACAGUUUCUGCAGGGCAGAGCGGUGACACUUUGGCAUGAGUAAUUUAUGUGGUUGUUGAUAUGCUGUGACAGAGUCUUCACCCACAACUCCGUAUGUAGCCUUUGCAGCUCGGAUCUGCCUCUGGGAAGAGCAACUCACCUCGGCAGUGUGAACAGCAAAAUGGGUAGUAGCUGCUCUUGUCACACGGGUCCCUUCCAGAGCUUCAGGUCACAGGAUGCAGAAGACAAGAUCCUGUGUUCUGCCUUCAUAAGGGCAAAUGCUGAAGAAACUCGAGACUCUUUGCUGUGUGCCUGGAAACCUGCCUGUCUYGGGUGA
RNAcentral lists this long non-coding RNA (492 nucleotides) under Dromaius novaehollandiae (emu). RNAcentral's name for it is "lncRNA (ENSDNVG00000004771.1)". Lineage: Eukaryota; Metazoa; Chordata; Aves; Casuariiformes; Dromaiidae. The record is from RNAcentral.